CCGGAAAGCCGGACGGCCGCUGCCCGCAAGGGGAGAGGAAAGUCCGGGCUUCACGGAAACAGGAUGCCGGGUAACACCCGGGCGGGGCAACCCGACGGAAAGUGCAACAGAAAACAAACCGCCCGCUUUCGUUUGCGGUGCAAACUUCAGCGCGGCUUGCCGCGACGAAGCCCGAAAGGGCGAAGGCGGGUAAGGGCGAAACGGUGCGGUAAGAGCGCACCGCGGACGUGGUAACACGGACGGCAUGGCAAACCCCAUCCGAAGCAAGACCAAAUAGGGGCCGCAUAUGCACAUUGUUUCCUGUGCCGCGGUCCGGGUAGGUUGCUAGAGGUUAUUGGCAACAAUGAUCGUAGAGGAAUGGUCGUCGGUGCCGCAAGGCAUUACAAAACCCGGCUUACAGGCUUUCCGGCCAA
RNAcentral lists this RNase P RNA (413 nucleotides) under Micavibrio aeruginosavorus. Its description in RNAcentral is "RNase P RNA component class A". It matches the Rfam family "Bacterial RNase P class A". From Rfam's summary of the family: Ribonuclease P (RNase P) is a ubiquitous endoribonuclease, found in archaea, bacteria and eukarya as well as chloroplasts and mitochondria. The record is from RNAcentral. Lineage: Bacteria; Pseudomonadati; Bdellovibrionota; Bdellovibrionia; Bdellovibrionales; Pseudobdellovibrionaceae.